GGCGGUUCUCAGGUGACGCACCCCGGAAUUGGGCUCCCUCCUCUCUGGUUCCGGGAUGCAUCACCCAAGAACUGCC
Molecule: non-coding RNA, 76 nt
Organism: Myotis lucifugus (little brown bat)
Lineage: Eukaryota; Metazoa; Chordata; Mammalia; Chiroptera; Vespertilionidae
Source: Rfam